AUUGAACGCUGGCGGCAUGCCUUACACAUGCAAGUCGAACGGUAACGCGGGGCAACCUGGCGACGAGUGGCGAACGGGUGAGUAAUAUAUCGGAACGUGCCCAGUAGUGGGGGAUAGCCCGGCGAAAGCCGGAUUAAUACCGCAUGAGACCUGAGGGUGAAAGCGGGGGAUCGCAAGACCUCGCGCUAUUGGAGCGGCCGAUAUCAGAUUAGGUAGUUGGUGGGGUAAAGGCCUACCAAGCCGACGAUCUGUAGCUGGUCUGAGAGGACGACCAGCCACACUGGGACUGAGACACGGCCCAGACUCCUACGGGAGGCAGCAGUGGGGAAUUUUGGACAAUGGGCGCAAGCCUGAUCCAGCCAUGCCGCGUGCGGGAAGAAGGCCUCGGUGUAAACGCUUUGUCUAGGAGAAGACUUACUGGCGUAAUA
Molecule: ribosomal RNA, 428 nt
Filed under: uncultured bacterium
Lineage: Bacteria
Description: bacterial SSU rRNA
Rfam family: Bacterial small subunit ribosomal RNA
Source: RNAcentral